UGCCCCACCUGCGGCGUGCCCACCUCAUCUCCGCCGCUGCUCAGGGCAACUCCAACGGGGGCGCCCGCGGUCGGCGCGCCCCUCGCGCCGCGCCGAUGGUGCUGCCAGCCGCCUAUCGCGGCCGCGCCGCUGGGGGCCGGCGGCGGCCCGUCCUUGCCGCGCGCCGAUGUGGGCGGCCGUGCCCCGCCCGUGCCAUUGGGGGCGGCAGCGGCCCGUCCUACCCGCGUGCCGAUGGGGGCGCCCGCGGCCGGCCUGCCCCUCGCGCCGAUGUGGGCGGCCGUCCACCGCCCGUGCCAUUUGGGGGCUGGCGGCGGCCCGUCCUACCCGCGUGCCGAUGGGGGCGCCCGCGGCCGGCCUGCCCCUCGCGCCGAUGUGGGCGGCCGUCCACCGCCCGUGCCAUUUGGGGGCUGGCGGCGACCCGUCCUGCCCGCGCGCCGAUGGGGGCGCCCACGGCCGGCCUGCCCCUCACGCCGCCGGUGCCGCCAGCCGCCUUCCACCGACGCUGCCACUUCUUCGAUGAAAAAAAAGCCCCUUCCUCCGCUUGCCUAUCGCCGCCGCUGCCGCUCCUACCCCCGGCUGCCCCUCCCUCCGCAGCUCUUUCCGGCCAUGCACCGCCCCUUCCGGUGUUGGCGUCAUCCUCUUUCAGGGCUCUCCAUCCCGCGGCUACCUCUGGCCUCUUGAAUCUUGCUCCACCCUCCUGCUGCGGCAACAAAGGGGAAGCCAUGAACUGCGAGGUUGUGUUCCCGCAAGAUGGCCGAGGUACCAUGAAGCCUGUCUUUGGUACGCUGUGCCGUGACAUGACGAGCCUCGUCCUCCGCCGAGCAGGCUGCAACAGAGAGCACCAUCCUUCAAUCUUUCCUCGAUUUGGUCAUCGCAGUUACUUGAAGCUGAUUCAGACACGGAGUCCAUUCCUGUGUUGCUCGGCCUAGCCCACAGCCUGUGGGGCAGGCACGGCGGUGCAGCCAGCUGAUUCUGCGGCUACGAUGGCAUUGCCCUCACUCCAAUGUUUUACUCCUCAACCAGCAUGACCUGCUGGUGAUUUGGCAUCUCCCGGUUCCAUCCCCAUUGGAUGUAGUGAGAUGCAGAAUUCCUCCCUGUUUGUAAGGUCUUCAUGUUCUUUUCAGGUGAUACUGUAGUGUGGCAGUGGUGUGCUGUGGCAAGCAGCGGCGGCAGGGGCUCCAAGUUGGUGUUUGUUCACAUCGAUUGCCAAUGGCUAGGCUGUUCACAAGCAGCGUCGUUUGUUGACAGCAGGUGUUGGCACUUAUCAGGACUGAUGUCUUGUGGGUCAUGAUUAGGCAGAAACAGGCAACUUCAAUUAAAGAGUGCCCUUGCCUUGUUUGUUUUUCUUUCCUCCUGCCAAUUUCAUUGACCUUUGCGGUUAUUGUCAGUGGCUGAGGACAUGAAGCAGGUGGUGAACCUGGAAACAGAUAAUUUAAAGAAAGUACACAAAUAGCUGGAUUCAGCUUCAAGGUCCUCUGUUAGUUACUGCCUCAAUUGCAGAUUAAUGCCUUAAGAAGAAUGCCAGUUUUAUAAAUGAUGGAGCCUCCUGUGAGGUGCCUUGGGCUUAAGAAGCUAAGCUGGGUAAAUGCAAGAAGUGAAUUAUUCUACCACACUGAUAAGAAUUAAAAGGUGGUUGAGAUGGAAUAUGGAAUACUGUGUCUUGUUAAAAGGUGGUUUAGACUAUAAUAUUAAAUUUGGUGGUUUUCACGGUGCUUGUUAAGUCUUAAUAGUACCAUGAUCAAGGAUCUUAGAUAGAGGGGCAAUCUGACACCAUAAGCUAAUUAUGCUCGGACCUGAAACUAAGUUGUUUACUGUUUUCAAUUUGCUUUAAAUAUCUGGAGCAAAUAUGGAGCUAGAUGCACGGUUGCUAUAUUAUCUACCAAUGUCAUGUUUCUAACACAUUCUAAUAUUUGGUUGAGUUCAUAUGGGUUAGUGAGUUUUUUCCUAACUGCGCACGAUAUUAAGGCUGCUUAUCUUUUUUCCUGAAACAAUUGUUAUAAUCAAUUCAAGUUCAUGUCAUGUUUAUUGCAAGAUACUUAUGUGGUAUCCAGUUCUUCUUAUGGCACACUAGAAAUAGAACCUGCCAGGAAUAGUGCUUGGUAUUUUUAUUUUGGUAAUAGACAAAAGCAUAUUGGUUUUGAAACUGAUUUCACUCGCAUAUUUUUCAUCACUUUUGUGCAUCCUGAAGUGAUCAGCUCAAUGGCUCUGCUUCUAACGCAUGGAGUAUGGGUGCUUCCGUCCAAGGCUCCUGUCACCGUGCAUUUGUGAGUACAGGUUUGAAAUGGUUGCAUGCUUCAAGGGAUUUGAGAAGUUUUCAGGUUUUCUAUAUGUUUGACCUACAAACCUGAAGCUUCAUAUCCUAUUUCUGACAGAAAGUUGGUUCAACCUUUGUGAUGCAAUGUCUCAAGUGAAGCAUUGUAACUGAAGUAAAUGUUGUCGUAAUGUGGUAGAAAUAUGAAUUUUCUUGGUGGUAAGUUACUUUCAUGAUAUUUUUCCUUAUUGUUGUUUUUGUGAAUAAUAAGAUGCUAUUCCUUGCUGGUCUUAUUUGGAAGAACACUGAGAUUACAGCAUCUGUCCCAAUGCAUUUACCCAAUCAGCCCAUUCCUCGUCCAAGUAGAGAUGUUCUAGAGUAUAUGAGGUCAGACAUGUUUGCUCUUUGUUCAAUAGCUUACUGGAUAUAUAGAUUUUCAAGAGUAAAAUUCAUGUUUAAAACAGAUAGGCUACAACAUUGAGUGAAUUUGUUGCUAAUCAAAUCAGUUCAACAUGUAACCAUAAGCUUAUUUAAUUAGCAAUAGAUAAACCGAUCAUACCACCCAAGUUUAAUUACACGUGUGUAUUUUGAUCUUGAUAUACAUAUAUUUGAUUAAUAGCUUACAAUAGAUAUUUUGGUUGGUCAAUAGAUAUCUGAUGCUUUUUUCUGAUGUACCCAUGUUUUGAUGUCUUAUGUUACCUCCUAAUUUCAGUGGUCAUAUAUUGUUGACCUGAUUUACCAUUUGGCGUUUGAGUUAACAUGUUCCUCUGAACUCUAUUAAUGCUUCUAUUAUUUGGUUUAGUGCCUGCUUGGUUAUCUGCUAUUCCUCUUAGUCAUAUAGCCAUUUUGUUUACAAGGAACAACAAGAAGAAUAUGAACAUAGCCAAAUAAUGGUGAAAUCUGCAAAAGAUUCUGUACAGGAACAUUCCAUACUGCGUCCUAUCAAUUUCCUUUUCCAAGUACCUUAAUGAAAGGAAAAUAGGACAUUAGGUAUUUGUGUAUAUUUGGUUAAAACAGAGAAACCGGUAUCUUCAUGUCGAACUACUAUAGGCAUACCUUAUUAACCCAAUUUAUUUAUUCCACCCUUCAUAUUCAAUUAGUUAUUUGAUGAUGAGAUUAAUUGAGCUGUUAUAGCCAAAAUUUCUAGCUGUAGGCAUGCAUCUGUGAUUUAUUUCUUGGUUGAAAAUUUAAUAGAGCGCAAAAGUUUUAAUUUAUAAUAGUUUGUGACUACAAAGAAAUGCCUUUAUUUUUUUCCUGCGUGCUCUCUUGUCAGGAAUUGGGGGUGUGCGGGUUACUGUUCACGUGAACAGUACUCGAGGGGGUGGGGGUGGAGGCGCAGGGAGAGGUGGAGAGGCAGGGGGCAGGGUAGGGUUGAACCUUUUCCUUGCUGAUCCAAAAUAGAUUACACCCUUUUAGUUUUAUAGUGACUCCUAACUUAACUCCCAAGCAAUCUAAGGAUGGAAUCCUUCCAUCUUACAACUCAAUCUCUAAUUAUUACCUAACUUAAACAAAAGGACUUCCUAAUACUUGAAUAGACUAAAGAUAGAAGGGAGGGGGCUGCUGGGCGCCUGGACCCCCUAGGGUGGUGCGGCCCAGGGCUGCAGGUGCCCCUGCACACCUGACUGCUGCUGUUGGGCCUGCCUGGCCCAUGGCGCCAUGGCCCUGGCUGCCCAUGCACAUGACAUCUCUGUACAUGGAACCUUAUGCUACAAGAUGUAACCUUUCGCAGGUAAGCCUACUAAAUCAGAAAAGGGUUCCAUGCUGAUUUCACUGUAUGUUAGUCAAUGAUGCAGAGAAAAGCUCUUUCCUUGCAUUCAAUUUUUUUGAUAGGAUUCAUGUUGAAAUUCCAACUGAACAACCAUUACUCUUUACUGUUUAGUACAUCCUUUUUGUUUUCUUGUCAUUUUGUGCUUCCAUAUUCCUGUUAGAUUUCAUGGGAUUUGUUUAUUUUAGUCCCACAAUAUAGUUUGCGAGUGAAUAUUUCAUUAUCUUUCCCUUGAAAUACACGCAUGGUGAAGGGUUAUCAGCCAAUUGAGCUGCAACUGCUCCGUACAGAGAAUUCAUAUAGCUGUGUACUGUAUCCAUGUUUUGCAAUAUUAUAAAUAAGUGCUUUAUUUGAUCCACUUGCAGUAAUAGUUAGUUACAGUUUUGCUAAAUUUAAUAGAUAGCAAACUAAUAUGCUCGAACAUGUGCCCAGUAUUGCUCUGAUCGUUUGAGUGAACACAGACCAUUACAAAAAAGUUGGGUGUGUCCUUUUGGUCACUUUAAAACUGCAAGUGGUAUACACAUGGAUAGACAUCAUUGGCAUAAGGGUUAGUGCGCUCUCUGACGGCUAUAUUUAUCCUUUGCAAAUUAUCCGCCUAUUUCUAGACAAGAUUACAAGAAAAAAGAAAGAUCAAGGCUAUUUUUAAUAGCGUACUGAUGGACUUACUUUAUUGAUACAAAGUUCAUGCACCAAUUAGUUCAUGGCAUUGCAAUGGCAUGGUCAAGUGUUAUAUUGAUUCUUAUUUGCCAUAUAUUUGAUAUUAUGGUAGUUUUCAUCCAAUAAAUUCAAAAACUAUUAGACAUUUUAUGGGUUGUCACUCAGUGUGGAGGGAAAUUAUCUCCAAAUUUGCAUACAUCUUAUGUAAAGAUAAUUAGAUAUUUAUUCCUAAUUUGUUGUAAUUGAGAGGAGUUACAAGCAAGGGCUUAGGCUGCGACAGGAAUGUAAUGCAUUUAAAAAAAGUAUUGCAAGAAAUCAAUUUACAUUACCUUAUCAUAUUAUAUUGUUCGAAUAUCAUUAUGAUGGCUUUGUUAGUUUGGUGAAGAGAUUAUGUGAAUCCAUCUUAAUCUCAAUGUUCUUUUUUUUUUUCAAAACUUGCAAAUAAUUUCAAAGUAUGCUGUUGUAAUGUUUGCUUAUAGAUUUGAAAUUCAUAUAGUUACCUGCAUACUAUUGCUUAUUUUAAGAGCGUGCUUACCUUGGGUUCCUAAUUAUAUCUCUAACUCCAGGGAUGAAUGCAGAGCUAAGAAAGGUAAGAGAUGACAAUUAUUGCAAUUACCACGUAUGAUCCUGAGUAGGUUAUGGUGCUCUUAACAAAUUUCGUGAAAAUGUAGGGAUAUCCAUAUGCAAUCCCGCAACUGUACAAUUUGAUAGAAGAUUCUACUUUUGCCAAAACAAUACCAGCUACCGUGCAAAAUCAUAGGAGCCAGCAGUGUUGCAGAAUGAAGAAGUGACAAACUACCUCCUAGCUACUUAAUGUUAUGAACUUACUCUAGCUGCUGAAACCUGUAUAUUAUAACUUAUCUACAACUAUUCGCACAUGUAUUAUAAAUUAUCUAGACUUACUUCAAAUGUCAAGUUCUUCAUAACAUUAUUGUGCCCA
Setaria italica (foxtail millet) is the source of this 5613-nucleotide long non-coding RNA. RefSeq lists it as uncharacterized. The record is from RefSeq and is a predicted model, not a curated record. The transcript has 5 exons. NCBI's taxonomy places the organism in Eukaryota, Viridiplantae, Streptophyta, Magnoliopsida, Poales, Poaceae.